RNAcentral lists this ribosomal RNA (492 nucleotides) under uncultured bacterium. RNAcentral's name for it is "partial 16S ribosomal RNA". It matches the Rfam family "Bacterial small subunit ribosomal RNA", at positions 29 to 507 of the family's 1533-position model. The record is from RNAcentral.
AGUGAACGCUGGCGGUAGGCCUAACACAUGCAAGUCGAACGGCAGCACAGUAAGAGCUUGCUCUUACGGGUGGCGAGUGGCGGACGGGAGAGGAAAAUAUCGUAAUCUACUUUUUCGGGGGGGAUAACGUAGGUAAACUUAAUCUAAUACCGCAUACGACCUACGGGUGAAGGCAGGGGAUCUUCUGAGCUUGCGCGAUUGAAUGAGCCGAUGUCGGAUUAGCUAGUUGGCGGGGUAAAGGCCCACCAAGGCGACGAUCCGUAGCUGGUCUGGGAGGAUGAUCGGCCACACUGGAAGUGAGACACGGUCCAGGCUCCUACGGGAGGCAGCAGUGGGGAAUAUUGGACAAUGGGCGCAAGCCUGAUCCAGCCAUACCGCGUGGGUGAAGAAGACCUUCGGGUUGUAAAGCCCUUUUGUUGGGAGAGAAAAGCAGCAGGUUAAUACCACGCUGUUCUGACGGUACCCAAAGAAUAAGCACCGGCUAACUUCGUG